Molecule: ribosomal RNA, 293 nt
Filed under: uncultured bacterium
Lineage: Bacteria
Description: partial 16S ribosomal RNA
Rfam family: Bacterial small subunit ribosomal RNA
Source: RNAcentral
GUGCCAGCCGCCGCGGUAAGACAGAGGGUGCGAACGUUGCUCGGAAUUACUGGGCGUAAAGCGCGCGUAGGCGGGCCGAUAAGUCGGUUGUGAAAUCCCUGAGCUCAACUCAGGAACUGCAUCCGAAACUGUCGGUCUAGAGUAGUGGAGAGGGAUGGCGGAAUUCCGGGUGUAGAGGUGAAAUUCGUAGAUAUCCGGAGGAACACCGGUGGCGAAGGCGGCCUCCUGGACACUUACUGACGCUGAGGCGCGAAAGCGUGGGGAGCAAACAGGAUUAGAAACCCCCGUAGUCC